This 497-nucleotide ribosomal RNA is filed under the name uncultured bacterium. RNAcentral describes it as "partial 16S ribosomal RNA". It matches the Rfam family "Bacterial small subunit ribosomal RNA", at positions 28 to 507 of the family's 1533-position model. The record is from RNAcentral.
GAUGAACGCUGGCGGCGUGCCUAAUACAUGCAAGUCGAGCGACCAGACGAUGAGCUUGCUCCUCUGACGUUAGCGGCUGACGGGUGAGUAACACGUGGAUAAGCUACCACUAAGACUGGGAUAAUUACGGGAAACCGGAGCUAAUACCAGAUCAUAUAUUGAACCGCAUGGAUCAAUAGUUAAUGACGCUUUUGCUGUCACUUAUAGCUGGAGCCGCGCCGGAUUAGCUAGUUGGUAAGGGAACGGCUUACCAAGGCGACGAUGCGUAGCCGACCUGAGAGGGUGAUCAGCCACACUGGAAAUGGGACACGGUCCAGACUCCUACGGGAGGCAGCAGGGGGGAAUAUUUGACAAUGGGCGCAAGCCCGAACCAGCCAUACCGCGUGGGGGAAGAAGGACUUUGGGUUGUAAAGCCCUUUUGUUGGGGAAAAAAAAAAGAAGGUUAAUACCUCGCUGUUCUGAAGGUACCCAAAGAAUAAGCCCCGGCUAACUUCGUG